This 85-nucleotide transfer RNA is filed under the name Felis catus (domestic cat). It matches the Rfam family "tRNA". Rfam says of the family: Transfer RNA (tRNA) molecules are approximately 80 nucleotides in length. Their secondary structure includes four short double-helical elements and three loops (D, anti-codon, and T loops). The record is from Rfam by way of RNAcentral. Lineage: Eukaryota; Metazoa; Chordata; Mammalia; Carnivora; Felidae.
GCCUGGGUGGCUCAGUCGGUUAAGCAUCUGACUUCAGCUCAGGUCAUGAUCUCACGGUCCGUGAGUUCGAGCCCCGCGUCAGGCU